GACGAACGCUGGCGGCGUGCUUAACACAUGCAAGUCGAACGGAAAGGCCCUGCUUUUGUGGGGUGCUCGAGUGGCGAACGGGUGAGUAACACGUGAGUAACCUGCCCUUGACUUUGGGAUAACUUCAGGAAACUGGGGCUAAUACCGGAUAGGGGCUCCUGCUGCAUGGUGGGGGUUGGAAAGUUUCGGCGGUUGGGGAUGGACUCGCGGCUUAUCAGCUUGUUGGUGGGGUAGUGGCUUAUCAAGGCUUUGACGGGUAGCCGGCCUGAGAGGGUGACCGGCCACAUUGGGACUGAGAUACGGCCCAGACUCCUACGGGAGGCAGCAGUGGGGAAUAUUGCACAAUGGGCGGAAGCCUGAUGCAGCAACGCCGCGUGCGGGAUGACGGCCUUCGGGUUGUAAACCGCUUUCGCCUGUGACGAAGCGUGAGUGACGGUAAUGGGUAAAGAAGCACCGGCUAACUACGUG
Molecule: ribosomal RNA, 468 nt
Filed under: uncultured bacterium
Lineage: Bacteria
Description: partial 16S ribosomal RNA
Rfam family: Bacterial small subunit ribosomal RNA
Source: RNAcentral